GAGACACGUAGCCGCAGUGAAAGCGAGCCUGAAGAGGGCGCACAGUCAGUGGGGGUAGACGCGAAACCAAGUGAUCUACACUUGGCCAGGAUGAAGUCCCGGUAACACGGGAUGGAGGUCCGCACCAAUAAGCGUUGAAAAGCUUCUGGAUGAGCCGAGUGUAGGAGUGAAAGGCCAAUCAAACUUGGAGAUAGCUCGUACUCCCCGAAAGGCAUUUAGGUGCCGCGUCGGAUGGUCACCGUGAGAGGUAGAGCGACCGAUAGGACAAGAGGGCUUCACCGCCUAUCGAGUCCUGACGAACUCCGAAUGCUCACGGUCUGCAGUCCGGCAGUAAGGGGGCGGGUGCUAAGGUCCGUCCCCGAGAGGAGAAGAAUCCAGACCGCCGUCUAAGGUCCCGGAGUUCUGCCUGAGUUAGUCUAACGAAGUCUGGUCCCUAUGACAGCUAGGAUGUUGGCUUGGAAGCAGCCAUUCAUUCAAAGAGUGCGUAACAGCUCACUAGUCGAGGGUCCGGGCAUGGAUAAUAAUCGGGUAUAAGGCAGACACCGAAGGCGCGGGAUAGCA
This 561-nucleotide ribosomal RNA is filed under the name Segatella copri. RNAcentral describes it as "partial 23S ribosomal RNA". It matches the Rfam family "Bacterial large subunit ribosomal RNA", at positions 655 to 1212 of the family's 2925-position model. Lineage: Bacteria; Pseudomonadati; Bacteroidota; Bacteroidia; Bacteroidales; Prevotellaceae. The record is from RNAcentral.